This 502-nucleotide ribosomal RNA is filed under the name uncultured bacterium. Its description in RNAcentral is "bacterial SSU rRNA". It matches the Rfam family "Bacterial small subunit ribosomal RNA", at positions 35 to 507 of the family's 1533-position model. The record is from RNAcentral.
GACUAACGGCUGGCGGCGUGCCUAACACAUGCAAGUCGAACGAGUUGUUUAUAGUAGCAAUAUUGUAAAACGGCAAGUGGCGAACGGGUGAGUAACACGUAGAUAAUCUGCCUUUCAGACGGGGAUAACUCAGGGAAACUUGUGCUAAUACCCGAUGAGACUACGGGAGGGGACUUCUGUAGCCAAAGGUGGGGGCAACCUCGCGCUGAAAGAUGAGUCUGCGUCCUAUCAGCUAGUUGGUGGGGUAAAAGCCUACCAAGGCGAAGACGGGUAGCCGGCCUGAGAGGGUGAACGGCCACACUGGGACUGAGACACGGCCCAGACUCCUACGGGAGGCAGCAGUGAGGAAUUUUCCGCAAUGGGCGCAAGCCUGACGGAGCGACGCCGCGUGAGGGAUGACGGCCUUCGGGUUGUAAACCUCUUUUAUUAAGGAAAAAGGCAAUCGUGCUAAUACCACGGUUGUCUGAUGGUACUUAUUGAAUAAGCCCCGGCUAACUACGUG